Molecule: long non-coding RNA, 1227 nt
Filed under: Homo sapiens (human)
Lineage: Eukaryota; Metazoa; Chordata; Mammalia; Primates; Hominidae
Description: long non-coding RNA NONHSAT221500.1
Source: RNAcentral
GUGAACGGUCGCCUGCGGUGCCUGGGCAGCAUCCAGCACCUGAAGAACCGGUUUGGAGAUGGCUACAUGAUCACGGUGCGGACCAAGAGCAGCCAGAGUGUGAAGGACGUGGUGCGGUUCUUCAACCGCAACUUCCCGGAAGCCAUGCUCAAGGAGCGGCACCACACAAAGGUGCAGUACCAGCUCAAGUCGGAGCACAUCUCGCUGGCCCAGGUGUUCAGCAAGAUGGAGCAGGUGUCUGGCGUGCUGGGCAUCGAGGACUACUCGGUCAGCCAGACCACACUGGACAAUGUGUUCGUGAACUUUGCCAAGAAGCAGAGUGACAACCUGGAGCAGCAGGAGACGGAGCCGCCAUCCGCACUGCAGUCCCCUCUCGGCUGCUUGCUCAGCCUGCUCCGGCCCCGGUCUGCCCCCACGGAGCUCCGGGCACUUGUGGCAGACGAGCCCGAGGACCUGGACACGGAGGACGAGGGCCUCAUCAGCUUCGAGGAGGAGCGGGCCCAGCUGUCCUUCAACACGGACACGCUCUGCUGACCACCCAGAGCUGGGCCAGGGAGGACACGCUCCACUGACCACCCAGAGCUGGGCCAGGGACUCAACAAUGGGGACAGAAGUCCCCCAGUGCCUGCCAGGGCCUGGAGUGGAGGUUCAGGACCAAGGGGCUUCUGGUCCUCCAGCCCCUGUACUCGGCCAUGCCCUGUGGUCACUGCGGUUGCCGCCCCUAAUUGUGCCAAAGGCUGACCCGGCCCGGGCUGCGUACACCCUUGCCCUGCUUUGCCUUAAAGCCUCGGGGUCUGCCCGGCCCCUCGCCCCUGCCUGGCACUGCUCACCGCCCAAGGCGACGCCGGCUGGACCAGGCACUGCUGGCCUUUCUCCUGCCCGGCCUCGGAACCAGCUUUUCUCUCUUACGAUGAAGGCUGAUGCCGAGAGCGGGCUGUGGGCGGAGCUGGGUCAGUCCCGUAUUUAUUUUGCUUUGAGAAGAGGCUCCUCUGGCCCUGCUCUCCUGCAGGGAGGUGGCUGUCCUGCGGGAAGCCAUCAGCUUGGGCCAGCUGGCAGGUGGCAGGAAUGGAGAAGCUGACCCUGCUGGCCAGGCAAGGGGCCAGACCCCCCCCAACCCCCAGCUGCCAUCGCUCUCCCACCCAGCUUGGCCCCCUGCCCGCCCACCUCCCUGGGAGCCGGGCCUGUACAUAGCGCACAGAUGUUUGUUUUAAAUAAAUAAACAAAAUG